This 497-nucleotide ribosomal RNA is filed under the name uncultured bacterium. RNAcentral's name for it is "partial 16S ribosomal RNA". It matches the Rfam family "Bacterial small subunit ribosomal RNA", at positions 28 to 507 of the family's 1533-position model. The record is from RNAcentral.
GACGAACGCUGGCGGCGUGCCUAAUACAUGCAAGUUGAGCGCUGAAGGUUGGUCCUUGUACCAACUGGAUGAGCAGCGAACGGGUGAGUAACGCGUGGGGAAUCUGCCUUUGAGCGGGGGACAACAUUUGGAAACGAAUGCUAAUACCGCAUAAAAACUUUAAACACAAGUUUUAAGUUUGAAAGAUGCAAUUGCAUCACUCAAAGAUGAUCCCGCGUUGUAUUAGCUAGUUGGUGAGGUAAAGGCUCACCAAGGCGAUGAUACAUAGCCGACCUGAGAGGGGGAUCGGCCACAUUGGGACUGAGACACGGCCCAAACUCCUACGGGAGGCAGCAGUAGGGAAUCUUCGGCAAGGGACGAAAGUCUGACCGAGCAACGCCGCGUGAGUGAAGAAGGUUGUCGGAUCGUAAAACUCGGUUGGUAGAGAAGAACGUUGGUGAGAGUGGAAAGCUCAUCAAGUGACGGUAACUACCCAGAAAGGGACGGCUAACUACGUG